RNAcentral lists this transfer RNA (88 nucleotides) under Planctomycetota bacterium. RNAcentral's name for it is "Planctomycetes bacterium tRNA-Ser". It matches the Rfam family "tRNA". From Rfam's summary of the family: Transfer RNA (tRNA) molecules are approximately 80 nucleotides in length. Their secondary structure includes four short double-helical elements and three loops (D, anti-codon, and T loops). Further hydrogen bonds mediate the characteristic L-shaped molecular structure. tRNAs have two regions of fundamental functional importance: the anti-codon, which is responsible for specific mRNA codon recognition, and the 3' end, to which the tRNAs corresponding amino acid is attached (by aminoacyl-tRNA synthetases). tRNAs cope with the degeneracy of the genetic code in two manners: having more than one tRNA (with a specific anti-codon) for a particular amino acid; and 'wobble' base-pairing, i.e. permitting non-standard base-pairing at the 3rd anti-codon position. Lineage: Bacteria; Pseudomonadati; Planctomycetota. The record is from RNAcentral.
GGUGGGAUGGCAGAGUGGCCGAAUGCGCCGGUUUUGAAAACCGGUUUGUCGCAAGGCAACGGGGGUUCGAAUCCCUCUCCCACCGCCA